GAUGAACGCUGGCGGCGUGCUUAACACAUGCAAGUCGAACGGUGAAGGCGGAGCUUGCUCUGCUGGAUCAGUGGCGAACGGGUGAGUAACACGUGAGCAAUCUGCCCCUGACUCUGGGAUAAGCGCUGGAAACGGCGUCUAAUACUGGAUACGAGCUGCGAAGGCAUCUUCAGCAGCUGGAAAGAAUUUCGGUCAGGGAUGAGCUCGCGGCCUAUCAGCUUGUUGGUGAGGUAAUGGCUCACCAAGGCGUCGACGGGUAGCCGGCCUGAGAGGGUGACCGGCCACACUGGGACUGAGACACGGCCCAGACUCCUACGGGAGGCAGCAGUGGGGAAUAUUGCACAAUGGGCGAAAGCCUGAUGCAGCAACGCCGCGUGAGGGACGACGGCCUUCGGGUUGUAAACCUCUUUUAGCAGGGAAGAAGCGAAAGUGACGGUUCCUGCAGAAAAAGCGCCGGCUAACUACGUG
This 468-nucleotide ribosomal RNA is filed under the name uncultured bacterium. Its description in RNAcentral is "partial 16S ribosomal RNA". It matches the Rfam family "Bacterial small subunit ribosomal RNA", at positions 28 to 507 of the family's 1533-position model. The record is from RNAcentral.